GUAAGGAAUAUUGGACAAUGGACGCAAGUCUGAUCCAGCCAUGCCGCGUGAAGGAUUAAGGUCCUCUGGAUUGUAAACUUCUUUUAUAAGGGACGAAAAAAGGCUUUUCUAAGUCGUCUGACGGUACCUUAUGAAUAAGCACCGGCUAACUCCGUGCCAGCAGCCGCGGUAAUACGGAGGGUGCAAGCGUUAUCCGGAUUCACUGGGUUUAAAGGGUGCGUAGGCGGGCAGGUAAGUCAGUGGUGAAAUCCUAGAGCUUAACUCUAGAACUGCCAUUGAUACUAUCUGUCUUGAAUAUUGUGGAGGUAAGCGGAAUAUGUCAUGUAGCGGUGAAAUGCUUAGAUAUGACAUAGAACACCUAUUGCGAAGGCAGCUUACUACGCAUAUAUUGACGCUGAGGCACGAAAGCGUGGGGAUCAAACAGGAUUAGAUACCCUAGUAGUCC
Molecule: ribosomal RNA, 445 nt
Filed under: uncultured bacterium
Lineage: Bacteria
Description: bacterial SSU rRNA
Rfam family: Bacterial small subunit ribosomal RNA
Source: RNAcentral